RNAcentral lists this long non-coding RNA (2805 nucleotides) under Musa acuminata (dwarf banana). Its description in RNAcentral is "long non-coding RNA (MACU_LNC001818)". The record is from RNAcentral. Lineage: Eukaryota; Viridiplantae; Streptophyta; Magnoliopsida; Zingiberales; Musaceae.
UUAUUCUUCUCAUGAUGACACUGUCACUGUUAUGCAUCUUCUCUCCAAAUUCUUGCAACAAAAUAGAGCUGGCCAUAAGAAACUUCCCACAGGUACAUCCUGCUUGUUAAAUAGUCAUAUUCAUCUAGAAGAGAACUUAGUCAAUAUAUAUAUUUUUCAACAUUUAGCUUUGCAUGUCAAACAAAACUAAAAAUGUUUUUCCAUUUUGCUUAUUCUUCUCAUGAUGUCACUUUGUCACUAUUAUGCAUCUUCUCCCCAAAUUCUUGCAAGAAAAUAGAGCUGGCCAUAAGAAACUGCCCACAGGUACAUCCUGCUUGUUAAACAGUCAUAUUCAUCUAGAAGAGAAAUAAGUCAAUAUGUAUAUUUUUCAACAUUUAGCUUUGCAUGUCAAACAAAACUAAAAAUGUUUUUCCAUUUUGCUUAUUCUUCUCAUGAUGACACUGUCACUGUUAUGCAUCUCCAAAUUCUUGCAAGAAAAUAGAGCUGGCCAUAAGAAACUGCCAAUAGGUACAUCCUGCAACUCAUAGUUGGGUAAGCAACACUACUUUGCUACACCAAGAUAUUUUCCAUUAACAUGUAUUUAGAUUUCUUGUCCAUAAAAUCACCAGAACGAACUUAAUGUAUACUAAUUGUAAUUAGUUUUUUACAAUUUUACGAUAUAAAUAGGUCAACAAAGUUUUGGAGGGAAAAUAUUUUAAGUUUAAAUUGACUGACAUUGAUCCUGAGAUGAUAGUCACUCUAUCUGCUAUGGUUCUCUAGAACAUUUUGUUUAGCAUCAACUAUAUGUACAUUUUAGAUUAAAAUAUACUGUCAUUAAUCAUUUGAGUGGAGAAUAUAAAUGCAUAAUGGACAUGUUUCAUCUCAGACCUACCUAAUCUCUGCAGGUGUGUCAAUACUGGAUGUCACUUAAGCUCUGAACACAAUGAGGUGGUUGUCCAAAGGUACACACUAUGAUCCCAACCAUCAUGAUAAUGUUGCCUUUGCCUUCUCUGCAAUAUCCAUCAGUCAAAGAUACAAGUCAUAUUCAUAAUAAUUACAUGUCAUUCCGACACCACAUUCCUGGUAAUCAGCAAGUUAUAAUUCCCCCAACCCUAUAGAAGAACAAACCCACUGUUUUCCUUUGUCCCAUAAAUUUUAUUUUUAUUCUCUCUCUCUCUCUCCACCUGUUUAUACAGGUUGGGGCCUCUCUAUAACUUGUCACAUCAAGUGGGUAAAUUGUGCAAGCACAAGCCUGCUACUCACUCUUCCCAAGAGUCCUUGUUACCAAAUGUUGGCACUGGCACCCAUGUGCCACAAAGUACUACAAAAUUUCUCCAAUCCCAACAAAUCUUUAGAGGAGCUUUGACCCUUUCAAGAAGUAGAUAUACUAUUCUACCCGAGACAAGCAUUUAAAGUUUUCUGUCUCAUGCGGGACAUAACUUCUUAAAGGAGAAAAGGGAUGAAACACAUGAUGGAGGCAAUCUACAUCCUCUUCAUGCUCUCACAGUGUUGUAGUUACUGUUGUUCUGUCCCCACCUCUCAGGGGUUCACAGGAAAAGUUUGAGUUAGGCAAGAAGCUUGAGUUGGCCAACAUACAAUUAAUGAAGCUUGACAAGAGGCCAUUGGGCUCUCUCCACUUUGAACUGAAAGCAUUACACACAAUAAAUAAAAGAGUGACAAGUUGCCAUUGUGCUCUCCCCAUGUGGAAUUAAAAAGCACUGCAUACAACAAAUGAAGUGUGGCACUCUCUCUCUCUCUCUCUCUCUCUCUCUAUCUAUGUGGAAUUGCAAGCACCUCAACAAUCUGACCUUCCUAAAUGGUGGUUGUAGGUGCAGGGGGGGCAUACAUGUGAGCCCUCAUGUUCCUAGGGGCCAAAUGUGAGACAAAUAGUAUCUCACAUACUUUAUUGAUUCAUGUGGUGCCAAAGAGCCAGGGAAGUUUAUAUUUUGUUCAACAGAUGUGAGUCAUUUGUUUAUAGGACCGUAUGGUAAGUGUCAAUUUCCAUCUUUCCAUGUACCCUACACUGUUUGCAUACUAGCUCAUGCCACCUGCUUUUUACUGCACCCCAAUGUACCCUCUGUUGCAACCUCUGUGCUCCUUCUCAAUGGCCAUUUCCCAUCUCUUUCCCACUUCCCAACACCUUUAAAAGCCAGGCUAAAGGUAAAAAAAAGGUAACCUACUGACCAUUUGGGUCUGUGACAUGAAUCACCUUUUGAUGGAGCAGGAGGCCUAUCUUCCUUCAUAUUGUUUUCUCUGGCUUUUCAUCAUGGAUAGAAGAAUUAAUAAUGUAUGGAAUAUGGACAUUGGACAUGACAGCUAGUAUUUGUUGAGCAAUGUGCUCUGAACAUGGUUUUGUACCCAAAAGUAAGUCAUGUCUGAGUGACAAAUUUCACAUUCUACUAUCUGAUUUCUCUAUGAAUUUAAGAAUUCAUAAUGUACAGACAGUAUGGGCAGUGGAAAUGACAUAAUAGCAUUUGUUCCAUCAACCAUCUGUCUCCGGGAUCCCUCUGGUGGAGCAAUGAGCUGUUGACAUGGUUUUGUGCCCUAAAGUAACCCCCUGCUGAGUGACAAGCUCUCAUCCAUCCCCUUUGAUGAUUGUCCACUUGAGGAAUGUUGGGGACUCUGCACCAAGAAUAUCAGAGCUGGCCUGUAUGGUUUGUACCUGUAAGUGCCUGAAGGGAACUGAUGAGUAAGUACACUGACCAUUUAUUAUGAUAAGGAUGGACUGCUCACCGCAUGAUUAACUUUGUUUUGUAAGCUUGCUGAAGGUCUCCCUCACCCCUCUUCUUGGCUCCACCUCUCAAUUAUGUAGUGAGAUGCAGAUGA